Molecule: long non-coding RNA, 214 nt
Filed under: Panax ginseng (ginseng)
Lineage: Eukaryota; Viridiplantae; Streptophyta; Magnoliopsida; Apiales; Araliaceae
Description: long non-coding RNA (PGIN_LNC009369)
Source: RNAcentral
GCUUAUUUGAGAAGCAUCAAUCUGUACUAAAUUGUUAUCUGCUUAUUUAAGAAGCACAUUGUUGUAAAAUCAUUUGUAAAAAGAGAAAAGGUUAGAGUUAGUUUAUUUUAUGUACCUGUGAGAAAGACGAGUAAUUCUUCGACCAAGACCAGAGUCUUAGAGAGGUCAGCAGGAAGUUGGGUCUCUAGUGUACUUGUGAGGUGAGGAAGAGGUU